UACAGAGGGUGCGAGCGUUAAUCGGAAUUACUGGGCGUAAAGCGUGCGUAGGCGGUCAUGUAAGUCGGAUGUGAAAGCCCCGGGCUCAACCUGGGAAUUGCAUUCGAGACUGCAUGGCUUGGGUGCGGAAGAGGGAAGCGGAAUUUCCGGUGUAGCGGUGAAAUGCGUAGAUAUCGGAAGGAACACCAGUGGCGAAAGCGGCUUCCUGGUCCGACACCGACGUUCAGGCACGAAAGCGUGGGGAGCAAACAGG
Molecule: ribosomal RNA, 253 nt
Filed under: uncultured bacterium
Lineage: Bacteria
Description: partial 16S ribosomal RNA
Rfam family: Bacterial small subunit ribosomal RNA
Source: RNAcentral